This is a long non-coding RNA of Pogoniulus pusillus (Red-fronted tinkerbird), 1137 nucleotides long. RefSeq lists it as uncharacterized. NCBI's taxonomy places the organism in Eukaryota, Metazoa, Chordata, Aves, Piciformes, Lybiidae. The record is from RefSeq and is a predicted model, not a curated record. The transcript is spliced from 4 exons.
GCACCUGAGAGACAAAAGGAAGCAAGGUCACUCCCAAAGGAAAAAUUGUCACACCCACACCAAGAAGGGUAACAACGUUUGAAAUGUUAAAUACAUCUCCAAUAAAUGAGCAUCGUUUAGAAUCCUCGUGUAACCAACAAAGGGGCUGCUGGAGUAGUAUGACUCUAGUCAAAGAGUUUUUGUUUCAGCCUCUAGUGCUAACUGGAAGGGAGAAGCUUGUCCGUGCUGAAACGUCUUAAGCUGUUACGUGAAGUCACACAAGUAGCUGAUCGAAUCCUGCUGGGUUUGUAACCAAAUCUUGCUCAGCUGAUAGGGAUGUUUAUGCGAAUGCUAAACUUAACAAGAAAGUCUUGUGAAGGCAGGCAUCUGUUCAGCUGCAGGGAGGAGGUAAAUCAACAGCAACAAGACAAGCUGCGAGGACGGGAGUUGAGGUGCGGAACCCGUUAAGCAAGGGAACGGGACACAGCUGCAACAGAACGGGGGUAAGCCGGCUUGUGUGGCCAAGUCACAGGAGGCACCCUGUGAACAAAGCUCGUUGAAAGGACGCUUGAGGAAGACUACAGAACGACCUUCGGAGGAAGAAAGAGCCCCUCAGAGUGGCUGCCAUAGCAAAGAACCGACAGUAGACGGCGACAGAGACCGCCCUGAGAGUUAGAAACGCUCGGACGUAGACGGUGAGGACAACUUCCGAGGACAGAAGGGUUUGCGCUAAGCAGCUGGCGAGAAAGCCACGAAGGUGUGCGUCUGCGUGCAAGAAACCCGCGUGUGCUCAGAUGUGAGAAGAAAGGGAAAAACCCCCAACAGUAGCCUGUAUCCCUCAUUCUUCUGCUGAGAAAUGCAACCAGUCCAAAUAGAGGUCCUAGUGGUCAUGGAGGAGUUGGGUGGAAGAUUGAACUUCAUGGCCUUAGAGGUUUUUUCCAACCUCAAUGAUUCUAUGAUUCAAUGAAGGAAGAGGACAGCACGACCCCCGGCCUGAGGACAGGAAAUAGAAGAUCCUUUCCCCAAACCUGUGGGUUCUUCCUCAGCCAGCUCUCCACAGCACAUCCCCACUCCUACAGUCUCAGCUCAGAGUGCAGGCCCAAGCCUGGGAAGAGCUGUGUGAUGCUAGGACAACAGCCAGGGCUGUACCCACCUUCU